GGCCUCUCGCAAAACACAAAUGAGAGGUCCGACCUGCCCAGUGACACUAAGUUCAACGGCCGCGGUAUUUUAACCGUGCUAAGGUAGCGUAAUCACUUGUCUUUUAAAUGAAGACCUGUAUGAAAGGCACCACGAGGGCCCUACUGUCUCCUUUUCCAAGUCAGUGAAAUUGAUCUGCUCGUGCAAAAGCGAGCAUAAAAACAUAAGACGAGAAGACCCUGUGGAGCUUUAGACGCAAUAUUAACCGUGCCUAGAAGCCCACCCUUCAAUCAAGGUAACCAGCCACACAAGCAUAACGGCCAUAAUUAAGCUGUCUUCGGUUGGGGCGACCACGGGGGACAACUAAGCCCCCGAGAGGAACCAGGGGACCAGCCAUAAUAGUCCCUAAGAGCUACGAGCCACCCCUCUAAGCAACAGAAAUUUCUGACCAAUUAUGAUCCGAACUAAAUUCGAUCAACGAACCAAGUUACCCCAGGGAUAACAGCGCAAUCCUUUCCCAGAGCCCAUAUCGCCGAAAGGGUUUACGACCUCGAUGUUGGAUCAGGACAUCCUGGUGGCGAAAAUUUUACCAAGGGUUCGUUUGUUCAACGAUUAAAGUCCU
RNAcentral lists this ribosomal RNA (601 nucleotides) under Xenomystus nigri (African knifefish). Its description in RNAcentral is "partial 16S ribosomal RNA". It matches the Rfam family "Bacterial large subunit ribosomal RNA", at positions 1817 to 2597 of the family's 2925-position model. Lineage: Eukaryota; Metazoa; Chordata; Actinopteri; Osteoglossiformes; Notopteridae. The record is from RNAcentral.